AGUGAACGCUGGCGGUAGGCCUAACACAUGCAAGUCGAACGGCAGCACAGUAAGAGCUUGCUCUUACGGGUGGCGAGUGGCGGACGGGUGAGGAAUACAUCGGAAUCUACUUUUUCGUGGGGGAUAACGUAGGGAAACUUACGCUAAUACCGCAUACGACCUACGGGUGAAAGCAGGGGAUCUUCGGACCUUGCGCGAUUGAAUGAGCCGAUGUCGGAUUAGCCAGUUGGCGGGGUAAAGGCCCACCAAGGCGACGAUCCGUAGCUGGUCUGAGAGGAUGAUCAGCCACACUGGAACUGAGACACGGUCCAGACUCCUACGGGAGGCAGCAGUGGGGAAUAUUGGACAAUGGGCGCAAGCCUGAUCCAGCCGUACCGCGUGGGUGAAGAAGGCCUUCGGGUUGUAAAGCCCUUUUGUUGGGAAAGAAAAGCAGCAGGUUAAUACCCCGCUGUUCUGACGGUACCCAAAGAAUAAGCACCGGCUAACUUCGUG
This 492-nucleotide ribosomal RNA is filed under the name uncultured bacterium. RNAcentral's name for it is "partial 16S ribosomal RNA". It matches the Rfam family "Bacterial small subunit ribosomal RNA", at positions 29 to 507 of the family's 1533-position model. The record is from RNAcentral.